GCGUGAAUCCAAUUACAAGGGUUCCGGCGGGAUCAACCGGAACUCCCGGCGUUGAAUCCAAUUCCGGCGGGAUCAACCGGAACUCCGGCGUUGAAUCCAAUUCCGGCGGGAUCAACCGGAACUCCGGCGUUGAAUCCAAUUCCGGCAGGAUCAACCGGAAAUCCGGCGUUGACUCCAAUUCCGGCAGGAUCAACCGGAAAUCCGGCGUUGACUCCAAUUCCGGCAGGAUCAACCGGAACUCCGGCGUUGACUCCAAUUCCGGCAGGAUCAACCGGAACUCCGGCGUUGACUCCAAUUCCGGCGGGAUCAACCGGAAUCCCGGCGUUGACUCCAAUUCCGGCGGGAUCAACCGGAAUUCCGGCGUCCCGGCGUUGACUCCAA
This 381-nucleotide ribosomal RNA is filed under the name uncultured archaeon. RNAcentral describes it as "partial 16S ribosomal RNA". The record is from RNAcentral.